Molecule: long non-coding RNA, 897 nt
Filed under: Sorghum bicolor (sorghum)
Lineage: Eukaryota; Viridiplantae; Streptophyta; Magnoliopsida; Poales; Poaceae
Description: long non-coding RNA (SBIC_LNC016686)
Source: RNAcentral
UUGGAGCAUGCAGAGCCUCUUCUGAAAGUUACAAUUGUUCCUCGUGGAACAGCUGCUUUAGGCUUUGCACAAUAUGUCCCAAAUGAAAAUCUUUUGAUGACAAAAGAGCAGCUUUUUGAUAUGACAUGCAUGACAUUAGGUGGCCGAGCUGCAGAGGAGGUACAGUUAUCUUUAUUCAUAUCUUAUUUUUGCUGAUUUUUAUGAUAAAUAGCCAGAAUUCAUGGAUGUUUCUCAUACUGUUAAAUCUAUACUAACCAAUUCAAGCUAAUAUAAAGUUUGAACUUUGAAUUUCAGCUGUUAUUUUGAACUUCCUACAUUCGACAAGGACAUUAAUUAUAGCCUGUUUCGUUGAUAUUAUCGCCACUUAAAUUAUGAUCAGAUCAUGUGAAUAUGGUCAUAGUUGUCAAUUUAGUAGAAAAAUUAUAAUUCAUUUGGUAACUCAGGAUACUGCAUCAUGUAAACUUUUGAUUGCAUUUUAAGGCGACCAGAAGACGAUAAUAUUUUCCGUCAUCUCCUCUGCCCAUGUGAUAAACACAUUGAUAUACCAUUACAUUUAUCAAAUUGGUUGCCAUCUAAAUAUUGUAUAUAAUCUCAAGUUAUUACUUCAAGACAUCAUAGAAAUAAUAAUCAGUUCCCUGUCUUCCAAAUCCUUAUGUUGGGAUAUCUGUUUAUUUAACAGUAUUAUCACCAGAAAUUGUUAUAAGCAUAUUGUUGAAAGGCGCUAAUUGAGCUUUGUUUCAGGUUUUGAUUGGCAAAAUCUCAACUGGUGCUCAGAAUGACUUGGAGAAAGUUACCAAAAUGACAUAUGCACAGGUCGCUGUGUAUGGUUUUAGUGAAAAGGUUGGGCUUCUAUCCUUCCCUCAGAAGGAUGAUGGUUUUGAAAUGACCAAGCCUUAC